CAGUCGCCGCGGUAAUACGUAGGGUGCGAGCGUUAAUCGGAAUUACUGGGCGUAAAGCGUGCGCAGGCGGUUAUAUAAGACAGAUGUGAAAUCCCCGGGCUCAACCUGGGACCUGCAUUUGUGACUGUAUAGCUAGAGUACGGUAGAGGGGGAUGGAAUUCCGCGUGUAGCAGUGAAAUGCGUAGAUAUGCGGAGGAGCACCGAUGGCGAAGGCAAUCCCCUGGACCUGUACUGACGCUCAUGCACGAAAGCGUGGGGAGCAAACAGGAUUAGAUACCCGCGUAGUCCCUGUCUCUUAUAC
RNAcentral lists this ribosomal RNA (301 nucleotides) under uncultured bacterium. RNAcentral's name for it is "partial 16S ribosomal RNA". It matches the Rfam family "Bacterial small subunit ribosomal RNA", at positions 509 to 807 of the family's 1533-position model. The record is from RNAcentral.